RNAcentral lists this ribosomal RNA (494 nucleotides) under uncultured bacterium. Its description in RNAcentral is "bacterial SSU rRNA". It matches the Rfam family "Bacterial small subunit ribosomal RNA", at positions 899 to 1397 of the family's 1533-position model. The record is from RNAcentral.
ACUCAAAUGAAUUGACGGGGACCCGCACAAGCAGCGGAGCAUGUGGUUUAAUUCGAAGCAACGCGAAGAACCUUACCAGGGCUUGACAUCCCCCUGAUAGGCCCGUAACGGGGCCCUCCUUCGGGCAGGGGAGACAGGUGGUGCAUGGUUGUCGUCAGCUCGUGUCGUGAGAUGUUGGGUUAAGUCCCGCAACGAGCGCAACCCUUGUCAUUAGUUGCCAUCAUUUGGUUGGGCACUCUAGUGAGACUGCCGGGGAUAACUCGGAGGAAGGUGGGGAUGACGUCAAAUCAUCAUGCCCCUUAUGUCCUGGGCUACACACGUGCUACAAUGGCCGGUACAACAAGACGCAAUACCGUGAGGUGGAGCAAAUCUCAAAAACCGGCCCCAGUUCGGAUUGCAGGCUGCAACUCGCCUGCAUGAAGCCGGAGUUGCUAGUAAUCGCAGAUCAGAAUGCUGCGGUGAAUGCGUUCCCGGGUCUUGUACACACCGCCCGU